UAAGGAAUAUUGGUCGAUGGACGCAAGUCUGAACCAGCCAUGCCGCGUGGAGGAUGAAGGCCCUCUGGGUUGUAAACUUCUUUUAUAUGGGACGAAAAAGGGUCUCCCUAGAUCAACUGACGGUACCAUGUGAAUAAGCACCGGCUAACUCCGUGCCAGCAGCCGCGGUAAUACGGAGGGUGCAAGCGUUAUCCGGAUUCACUGGGUUUAAAGGGUCCGUAGGCGGUUUAAUAAGUCAGUGGUGAAAGCCCAUCGCUCAACGAUGGAACGGCCAUUGAUACUGUUAGACUUGAAUUACAAGGAAGUAACUAGAAUAUGUAGUGUAGCGGUGAAAUGCUUAGAUAUCAAGAGGAACACCUGAGGUGAAGACGGGUUGCUGGUCUAACCCUGACGCUGAGGCGCGAAAGCCAGGGGAGCAAACG
Molecule: ribosomal RNA, 422 nt
Filed under: uncultured bacterium
Lineage: Bacteria
Description: bacterial SSU rRNA
Rfam family: Bacterial small subunit ribosomal RNA
Source: RNAcentral